AUCGCAAAGAGACCAAGAAAGGGUGCAAAGAGACCUAGAACGGGCUAAUUUGGAGAAAGAUAUUAGAGAUAUGUGCCGACGACAAGAAUUAAUCAUGCAACACCUUCAGUUGAGCUCCGCUCAAAGUCAGAAUCCUCCCAAUGACGACGAAGAUGAUGCCUACGAUGAUAACGAUGAUGGUGGUGAUGGUUUUUGAUGAUUUUAAUUAUGGUUGGUGAGGCGAACUAAAGGUCGGAGAAAAAAGCAAAGGAGAUUUGAUGGGGAGCAAAGCUUUUGUGGCAGACAAAGAUG
This is a long non-coding RNA of Zingiber officinale, 291 nucleotides long. RefSeq lists it as uncharacterized. The transcript has 3 exons. Lineage: Eukaryota; Viridiplantae; Streptophyta; Magnoliopsida; Zingiberales; Zingiberaceae. The record is from RefSeq and is a predicted model, not a curated record.